CCCGCCUGCUGGCGACGGUGGUGCAGCGGCUGGGCGCGGCCGGCUCGCUCUCGGGCCAGCGCGACAUCACCGACCGGCUGGUGCCAGCGGCCGCGCAGCUGGUGCGCGAGGGCGACCUGCAAACGCGAAAACACGCGAAGACGAUUUUUCAAGUAUGGCUUCAGCAUCCUGAUUUGGACAAGGUACUGAGCAAAUACCUGUCUGGAUCGGUCAAGCUGGACAUCGAUAAGGUGGUCGACAACCUGAAGAAUGAGGUACCGACGCCGGCCUUGUCCACCGCCUCCCUGACCUGACCUGACCUCGCCCGACAUCAUCAUCCUACCACGUCACCAACAGGCAAGCCCAAGGACUCGGCGCAAAGCAAACGCGGCUUCGGCAGCCGGGUACGGCUGAACCACACCAUGUGAGCGUGGCGGGAGGAGCGCGGCCGCGUCGCGUGGCUGCCGCCGGCUGCUCCGGACGGGCCUGUCGCGGUCAAGAGCCGCAUCCUCCGCGGACAAACGCCACCCCGGCCGCCGCGGUCGGGUCCAGUCCCGGAGCGGAUGUUCUUAUCUCUGGGAGUGGCUGAGGGGCGUGACUUGAGGGGCGUCAGGGAGAGGAUCGCGCCCGUACCUACUGCGGCUGGGCGGACGUUGUGAGCGGACGACCCGCGGGGUGGAGGGGACGGGUGGGUCUCAGGGCCGCGCGGAGUGGCGGCCCGGUUAGUUCGCGCGGAAACGUCUGGGGCUGGUCCGCCCGGCGCCGCAUAAAUUGUUGAGUCUUUGUAGUGCGUUUUACGAACUAGAGCGGCGGCCCACGACAUAAGGGGCACUGGCGGCAUUUUGUGUACGUGGAUCGCCACUGGGCAGGUGUUUUGUAGGUGUGGCUUCGGUACUCCAUUGGAUCUAAUCCGUCCAUUUGUGCCACGAAAUCAAAUAAAACUUCUCUCUUCA
Long non-coding RNA from Pollicipes pollicipes, 932 nucleotides. RefSeq lists it as uncharacterized. NCBI's taxonomy places the organism in Eukaryota, Metazoa, Arthropoda, Thecostraca, Pollicipedomorpha, Pollicipedidae. The record is from RefSeq and is a predicted model, not a curated record. The transcript is spliced from 3 exons.